AUGGUACAGGCAGGGUGGGCCCUGACUCUGAUCCUCCUGGUGGCCCUGCCAGCCCAGGAUGUUGGGGCUGCUCCGUGGCGAGCACAGGCAGUGGCACUGGAGCGUGAGACUGCGCAGGAGAAAGCACCUCAAGAAGGCCAUCAGACAGUGCCAGUUCCUGGGGAAAACACCAGGGCCUUUCACACCACAGGUCCAAAGUAUCAAGAUGGAAGGGGACAAUCUUCCAUAGAGACAUCCAAAGUGCUACAUGAAAUCCUGAGGGAGCUGAAGAUGAUACUCGGAGGUGUGAACAGCCUGAGCCUCAACAGCGCUGUCAGCAGGAGAUCCACCAGUGCUGGAAACAGCAGGGCAGACCCAAACGCUGUGGAUAACGGAGAAGACCCAAACGCUGUGGUGGGCAGAGCAGACACAAAUGCUGUGGAUGCAAAUUCUUUCCAGAACUACUGCAUCGAAGGCAUCGUGGCAGUCCUUGGCUCGAUGCUGCUGGGAAUGGUGCUGUGUUGUGCACUCCAUCUGUGGAGGAAGAGGAAAAAGCGCCUUGCAGCUUCCUGAGCCAGUUCAGAGCACCUGGACAGCUGGACAGAAGCCAGCAGAAUAUUUGGAAUGGUAUAAAUAAAGAGCAGCAGCACAAUCA
This 634-nucleotide long non-coding RNA is filed under the name Parus major (Great Tit). Its description in RNAcentral is "lncRNA (ENSPMJG00000014849.1)". Lineage: Eukaryota; Metazoa; Chordata; Aves; Passeriformes; Paridae. The record is from RNAcentral.